This 686-nucleotide long non-coding RNA is filed under the name Cavia porcellus (domestic guinea pig). Its description in RNAcentral is "lncRNA (ENSCPOG00000037243.1)". Lineage: Eukaryota; Metazoa; Chordata; Mammalia; Rodentia; Caviidae. The record is from RNAcentral.
GCAAUGUCCCACAUGAGUCCAGAUAAAAACCCAGAGCUCAGGACAAUGCCUCCACGAGUCCAACUGGAGGUCCAGAGCCCACAAGAAGGACUCACACCAGUCUUUUUUACAGAUCCGUGCUGGGAAGACCCAAGGGUCAGCGGUGGAAGCCAGAAAGUCUAUGCCAGCAGGAUGAAGGAGCUGUGCUAGUGGGAUGAGGGUUCUAUGCUGGAGCCGAGAAGUCACACUCACAACAAAGACCAGGGCUAUCCUAAAGGCACCACAGCUGUCCUCAGCGACACAGAGGCCCCGAGCUCCUCCGACGACAAGCACAGUCAGGCUAUCUUCUUUCAUGCUGAUGAAGCAGAAAACUUCACUGAGUGUUUCUGCAUGUUUUAAAGUAACCAGAAACCGGCACACAGACGACUCCGUGCUGCAGAUCAGCGGCUCACACUCCUUGCUGAGGAGCAUUGUCAAGACCUUUAGCAGGCAUAAUCUUUGAAUUUUCCUUGGCAAGAAGCUCACAAAUUGAUUAAAACUUGCAAAAAUUUAUAAUUUCACUGCCAAGUAUGCAAACUAAUGGGCCAAAUCUUGUAACUUUUUGGACAAUUUUUUAAAUGCUUUCUUUUUGAUUUCAUUAAAAUCUUCAGAAAUUUAAGAUUGUUUGAAGCCUCAUUUUUGCUUUUGUUGUUUUUUCUUCUUUUCCC